Molecule: transfer RNA, 72 nt
Organism: Camelus ferus (Wild Bactrian camel)
Lineage: Eukaryota; Metazoa; Chordata; Mammalia; Artiodactyla; Camelidae
Rfam family: tRNA
About the family: Transfer RNA (tRNA) molecules are approximately 80 nucleotides in length. Their secondary structure includes four short double-helical elements and three loops (D, anti-codon, and T loops). Further hydrogen bonds mediate the characteristic L-shaped molecular structure. tRNAs have two regions of fundamental functional importance: the anti-codon, which is responsible for specific mRNA codon recognition, and the 3' end, to which the tRNAs corresponding amino acid is attached (by aminoacyl-tRNA synthetases). tRNAs cope with the degeneracy of the genetic code in two manners: having more than one tRNA (with a specific anti-codon) for a particular amino acid; and 'wobble' base-pairing, i.e. permitting non-standard base-pairing at the 3rd anti-codon position.
Source: Rfam
GAGGGCAUAGCUCAGUGGUAGAGUGCGUACCUAGCAUGCAUGAGGUCCUGGGUUCAGUCCCCACUGCCUCCA